Long non-coding RNA from Teleopsis dalmanni, 356 nucleotides. RefSeq lists it as uncharacterized. Lineage: Eukaryota; Metazoa; Arthropoda; Insecta; Diptera; Diopsidae. The record is from RefSeq and is a predicted model, not a curated record. The transcript is spliced from 2 exons.
AGGUCAGUUCAGCUACAAAAUAUAGAGCACAAUUAACAUCAAAGUCUAUGGUUGAUACAAAUAGACCUGUUAGAGUAUUGGAACCUCCUACAAUAGCAACAUCUAAAAACAACUAUAGCUGUCCAAUUUGUUUUAAAGGUUUUGAAACUCUAACCAUUUUACAUGCUCACGUAAAUCAUUGCUUGGAUCAAAAAAACUAAACCCACAUCAUAGCUUAUUGGUCAAUACAAUUUACAUAUAUUUAUAUAUAUACCUGACAAUUUUAUUCAUAUAUUAUCGUUAGAUUGUAAGCAGUGUACACGUUAGUUUAAUAUAUAAUAAAUAAUAUUCAUGAAACUUGUUUUGGAUUUUCGAAA